Molecule: long non-coding RNA, 4381 nt
Organism: Triticum urartu
Lineage: Eukaryota; Viridiplantae; Streptophyta; Magnoliopsida; Poales; Poaceae
Source: RefSeq, a predicted model, not a curated record
UCACCUACCCCCUCUCUCUAUGUCCUUUGUAUAGAUGGACUCUCUUAUGUUUAUCUCAAGAGAAAUUUUAUUUUUUUCAGUUUUUCUUAGAUGUACUUUGAUUUGAUGUGAAUCUUUUGGUCACAAUCAACAUGUUUAUCUUGGCUAAAUUAUGAGUUGUCGGACCGAUGUUGUCCGCACAACUAGGAGGGGGUGGAGAUGAAAUGGGGCCAAAUGAUCCCGCGGCAACAAUAGCAGAUCUGAAUUUGUGUUGCUAGGGUGCAGACUAACCUAACUUCAAGGAAAAACCUGAAGAUUCAAGUGCAAUUUUCUCCUGCCAAUUCCAUUUUCAGCAGCUUUCAGAGAUGCCUCUUCAUUUGUUAGAAAAAAACAUUGAGAUUCAAGUGCAUUUUUUCCUGCCAAUUCCAUUUUAAGAAACUUUCAAAGAUGCAUCUUCAUUUGUUAGAAAAUAUUUUUUUGAAUUAUGAGCUUGGUCUUUCAACAUGGCAUACAAAAUGUACUUUUGAAUAUAAUAUUAUGUUGCUACUUGCAAAGUUUUUUGAGUGGUAAAUUGUUUUUCAAAUUUCCAAGGACAUGUUAAUUUUAUGUGGCUUUAGAGGAGUAUAUCAAGUUAUCAGCAGGGUGCAUCAAUGGCUCACAGCGGAGGAAGCUGCCACGACUGCUAGUGCUGCAGCAAGGCGCUAGCUAGCUAGGUGUUGCAGACACAAUAAGUUUGCAUUUCGCUUCAGAAUUUAGAGGAGGUCAACAUUUGGUUUAUAGUCCUAAAAAGGUCAAACCUUUUCCCUAUUUCAUUCUUUGUCCCUCAAAUUGGGGCUAAAUAGUGUUUGUGAUGGAAAUUUUCGGGUUGGUAUUGGCAUUGGUUUGUGGGGAUUACAAGUUGAUAAGGAAUUCAUGCUUGAUGGUCAUGUAUUUUAAUGUCGUGAUUUGUGUUGAUGUUCUGCAUAUGUUCCGGAAAGAAGAUAGUAGGACAAAGCUAUAGGAGAACUCUGGUGAAAAGAAUUAUUUGCUUCGUCAAUGUAUAAAGGGAGUUAUGUCCAUGGUAGAGGUGCAGAUCAAGGAGGUCGGAAAAUGGGACGAGGUUGGGUGACAUGUACGAGGGAGGAAAAUGGUGUAGGUCCUUGUUUUUUGGUGAUGGUAGUUGCAUACUUCAAUGAAGGAAGGAAUCCCUAGCGCGUACAAUGACGUUAAUGUUGCUAGCAGCAGGGGACGGAAGCUUGUCACAUGUGAUGUGAAGGUUAGCUACCGUGAUCAAGGAAAUAACAUGUAUCUGUGUGGUUUGUUCCUGCUGUUGAUCGGACAUUGCCGUGUUUAAGGUAUGUUGUGCCCGGUGCUACUAAAUGCUAUAUAAAACCUAUAGUUGUACAUAAAACAUUCAUCUGACAUUACAUGACAACAAGCCAAACACUUUGCCACCUAGGAUAGUCUAUAUUUCUAUUUCCUUCAGUUAUCUCAUAUUUCCAGUAAAAAAACUCUUCACUUUGGGGUUUUGGAAUGAUCUUUAGGAAGUUGGUGAUGAGUUAGUAGAACUGAUGGAAAUUUCACUUUCAUUAGACAAUGACAUGACAAAGACGCCACUGCAUGAUAUAGUCUUUGGACUUAAGCCAUCUCAUAUGUACAAUAACAAGAUUUGUCGCUUUGGUUUUUUAGAAUAAUAUUCGAUAAGUUGGUGAAGAAUUAGAGCGGAAGUUACGCUCAUGAGUAGUAUUUGUUGUACAAACAUCCAAUUAAUUCUUAAGAUGCAAUAUAGACACUAUAAUAGUACUACUUUAGUCAAAUACAUUAUCCAUUGAUUGUUGUAGUGAAAUGUCGCUCUAGGUAUUAACUUGCAGAAUCUUGCACGACAAACUAUAGGCAUGUGAUCUCUAUGGUGUUCCGGUAAAUAAAGAAAACUAGAACAUGUGCCUUCAAGUUUUCUAUUUAUAUACAAAAACCAUCCAUUGGUACAUAUGAACAUAUGAAUAGGACUCAAGAAGAUCUAUUUUUUGUCAUGUUUGUGAGUUUUCUGUUAUUUCCUCUCAGUGUGAAUAGGACUGAAGAAGAUGGACAUAGCCUUUAGGUAAUUUCACUUUUUUUUUGAACCACAAAUCAUAGAACAAUAGUUCUAUGGUAUAUUUUCAUUAAAAAACAACAUGUUACAAAGGGAAAGGAUAAAACAAAAACAAAAGAAAAAAGAUCUAAGCUAAUGGGGCAGAUCCCUUAUCCAAUUUCAGUUUUGGGCAACAUGAGAAUCAUUUAAAAAUUUACCUGACAGCCUGCUUGAACAAGGUGGAAUACUUGUCUUUGAUCUUGUGUUGAAGUAGUUGAAGAUCCUUUUUUAAUUCAAGCCUCCAAUUUGAGACUGUCGGCUGGAUGUUUCUGAAGACCUUGCCAUUUCACUUUGUCUCGAUUAAUAACAUAUUACAAAUUUAUUUGUUUAAAUAGGGUAGGUUAUUUACGAAGGUAUACCAUUUCUAUUAACCGGAUAAUUUACAUCUUGGCAAGGACUUAUUGGUGCAACCUGGUCAUAAUUGCUCGGCCAAUUUCCCAACCCAAAUCCAGAACCGCUUCAUCUUUAGAUCUUUACGUGCUUGAUGAAAUGCCUUAGAGACUAAGAUCUGCACUUUGUUUUUCUCCGUUCUCCUUCUCACGGAUUAACCGAUGGAUGUAAGACCCAGAGAAGCAUUUGGAACUGGUCUGAAGUGUCUUCCAGUUUAUGCGUAUAUUCUUUUUUUUCAUGCUGGUAAAAUGUUAUUGGCUCGCUCAUCUGCACACACCUUUCAUUGUUGCUAAUCCUGAGAAUCCAAUCAACGAAAUAGUUGGUGAUGUUUGCUGUGGUACGCAGUUAAAAUUGCUACAUAUAGUUCAGUUUGAGACAAGGUAUUGACUGCAAUAAUAUAGGACUGUAGUGUUUCAAGCUAUUAAUACAGAUAAGAUUUUGAUUUGCCUGCAUUUGUAGAUUUUUAUCAUGCAUAUUCCACCUUUUUUCCUGCUCAAAUUAACCACCUAAGUUGACCUGACCAUGACAGUUGUGAAUAUUGAGGUACCUGAAAAAUGGUUGAUAAAGAUAAAGAUGCAGUUAAUUGACAUCGUUAUUUGGUAAGGCAAUCACCAAACUAAUAUUGUGAGCUCACGGACAUUCUUAGCAGGUGUCAUUUCUCACUACAAUAUUUCUGAUUUUUGGUUUGAUUUGACUAGCAGUUACAGUGGUCAGGACGACGCAGUUGUUGAGAUUGAUGGCAGAGAAAGAGCUAUGUAGUGUUUCAAGCUAUUAAUGCAUAGAAUAUUUUGAUUUGCCUGCAUUUGUAGAUUUUUACUCGUGCAUAUUCCAGCUUUUUUUCCUGCUCAAAUUAAACACCUGACCAUGAUAGUUGUUGUGAAUAUUGAGGUACCUGAAAAAAUGUUUAUAAAGAUAAAGAUGCAGUUAAUUCACAUCGUUAUUUUGAUAAGGCAGUCACCAUAAUAAUACUGUGAGCUCACGGACAUUCUUAGCAGGUGUCGUUUCUCACUAAAUAUUUCUGAUUUUUGGUUCGAUUUGACUGGCAGUGACAGUGGUCAGGACGAUGCAGUAGUUGAGAUUGAUGACAUAGAAAGAGCUCUGUAGCCCGAUUAGGAAACUAGCGACGGUGGUUUAGUAAUUAAUGUGCGAUGAAUCAUUAGUUCUGAGCGACCAUCCUUGGAUGUCACUAUGACGACCACCUCUGCUUGUACUGACGAGGGCAUCUAGGUUGCAUCUAGACCACAUAUCCUUUCGAAUAGUCCCUACUGCCAUUUAGUGUAUUAACAUAUAUUCUGUUAUCUUCUUGUUAGGCAAAUUUAGAGAAUCUGGAUGUUGAAUUAGGUACUUCUGGUAUGCCUGGACUACAAAAGUCAAUAUAGUUGAUGUUCAUCAGUCUUUCUGGAUUGUCCACCUUUCAGUUGGGUUAAGCCUCUUUUUCUAUUGUAUGCAAAUGAAACAUACUUGAUGUACCUCUGGUAUGAUAAAAGAGAUCGCCCUUUCCUUUUGUAAAGUUUUCUGCAGAUGAUGUUGUGGAGGUUGAUUUAAGAAUUUGUGUGUUCAUUAGUUCAUUACUUCCUUUACCAUUAGACAAUGGUUUAUAAGUGUUGCAUCUGACCCUAUUUUGCUGGGAAAUAUGAAUGAAGUGAUAGUUCUUGCAAACAUGGACUCCUCUUUGUUGGACGAGGAUAACUAAAAUACUAAUCUAGCAGGCAAUAAUUACAUGGUUGAUCUCGGUUUUGUACAUGUUAGGUGAGCAUUAUCAGUUUUACUUCCCAUAAGAGAGUGUAUUUUAGAGCUGCAGAUUGUUUCUAUUUAAGAGCAAGAAGCCAAAUCAUGUUGUUCAUUGUAAAUCUUGAAAAACUUGUUGUUUAUUGUCACUUCUAUCUAUGUUAUAAACUUUUGUUC